CGGGAGCGCCGGCUCCUGCCUCCCAUUCAUGUAACCUGUGUGUGUCUCUCUUUCUCUCUGUGUGUAACAGAGAGAGGGAGAGAGAGAGCGAGGCAAGGAGAGGAGGAGGAGGAGGGGGGAAGCUUUAAAUAAAGCCUUUGGAUUGCAGCUGCUUAUUUUGGGCAGUCCUACCAGGGACGAUUCUUGCCAAGAAAGAAGCUGGACCGGUCUUUUUUAUUUUGAUUUUGAUUUUUGGGGGUGGCAGUGGUGUGUUGCUGAUCUGCCUGCUGAGAUGAGCUCCGGUGCCUGCCUGUAGUUGCCCGCUUUGGGAUCGCUGGACACAUAAGUGGCAUUUCGCUGGGGGAAGCCUGCAGACAUGUGAGAAUGGUUGGACCACUGCAGUGGCACUCUGAUUUUUGUGGAUCGUGAACACAAAAAGGGAUUGAGAAGACACCAUCCGAGUUAUUCUGGCACAUGACUUGAGUGCUUUCUAUUCUUAGACAAAUGAGGAUCUGAAAUAUAAACCAAAUUGAAUGGAAAACAGUACUCAGGAGAAGAAAAUUGUUCUUCGUGUUCUGUAUGACAUCCACUCUUAUAGAACACCUGACUGUGAAGUGGAUCCAGAGGAGGGCCACAGAGUUAGUGAAUGGUAACACUGAAAUCAAGAACCAUGCUUCUCCAGCUCCAAACAAAGGCACUGCUACUUCUCGGCAGCACCAGGAUUUGACCUGGGGGUCCUCCAGAGCAGGGACUACAAAAGAUUAACAUUUCAGUCUGCUGAGCCCACCAGUGCGGUCUUGCCUUAUCGCAUAAGCUCUGCCGGAGGAAUGAAUUACCCUAGUUCAUUAAGACUCGUUUUGAAUUGUGGUGAGAGGUCACCACAUAAGUCACCUCCAGUCUAUUUUGCGAAUAAUAUGGAUUAUGAUAAAAGCCGGCUGGGAGGCUGAAGCCCAAGGAUUUUGUUUUCUUUAUUCUUCAAGGUGGGUAGAAUACAGGGUGGGGAAACCCUGAUCUGGACAUUUCCUAACACUGCAUAGUAGACUAUAGAAAAGUCCUUUUUUUGUUCUUUUUUUUUUUUUUUUAACCCGUGAAUAGGUGACCUCUUGAUCUCUCUGACCCCUUUAUUUUUGCCAUGAAAGAACCAAAACUAGCUGUGCCCAUACAAAAUCUUCUUUCGCUUCAGUUUUCUCAUGAUUAAAUUCCCUGCUGUGUUUUUGUUUAAGUGCUCUGAUGAUGCCCUUUGGAAUCGGGCAGAUGUUUGACUCUUUGAAACUGCAUUUUUUUUAAUUUAGCAGUGGUCUACAGUUGAGUCGUGUUGAUCCACAUCAGGAAUGAAUGAGAAAUGUUUCUGUAGUACCAUUCAAAUCUCACCACCCAAAAGUACUUUGCAAGUGAUACACUGGGAUACAGUAAUUGGUAAUUUGCAUCAAAUUACUCUGAUGUGCAGAAUGCUGU
Gallus gallus (chicken) is the source of this 1434-nucleotide long non-coding RNA. NCBI's taxonomy places the organism in Eukaryota, Metazoa, Chordata, Aves, Galliformes, Phasianidae. The record is from Ensembl.